GGAGCGCCACUGCUUUUUAAUUCAGAAGGGAAUUCUGAUGGUGGAAUUUCAGGCGAUGCGACAGACCGCCUUGGGAGAGGAGGAAGUUUGAAGCUAACUGAGCUAAGCAACCUGACCCAGGUCACUCAGCUCGGAAGUGACAGAGCUAGAACUGGACCCUAUGUCUGACUUGAGAGCUUUUGGCUCAUGAUGAGGAGCUUCCAGCAGCUGUGCACGGCAAAUCUGGACUUCGGUGGAAAGCACUGAAGCAGCCUUAGCUUCCCAGUGCCUGGUGCAGAGCUGCUAUUCUAAACUGGCCUUUUCUGGACCUCUGGUUUGCCCGAACCGUGGCUGAGGAUGGCGCCUGCCUGACCCCCUUUUCCUUGUCAGCCAGCUUCCCCCACGCCCACCCGACUCCUGCUUUAGCCUAUGGGGUAUCUUCUUCGAAUUCUCAGAAGGUGCUCUAUUAGUCAGGGUUCUCCAGAGAAACAGACCCAGUAGGAGUUAGAUACAGAUGGUCCCCAGCUUCUGAUGGUUCGACUGAACUAUUUUUUGACCUUGACCUCACGGCGGUGCCAAAGAGAUAUGUAUUCUGUAGAAACCAUACUUCACACUUUGAAUUCUGACUUUUUUCUAGGCCGCCGAUACGAUGUACAUGCUCUGUCAUAGUUCUGGGCGGCAGCAGAAAGCCCCAGCUCACAGUGAGCCGGGCAGCCAAGUGGGGAAACGCUGAUACAUGCAAUCAUUCUGUACCCAGACUGCCAUUGUGUUUGUCACUUUUGGUACAGUAUUCAAUAAA
Molecule: long non-coding RNA, 778 nt
Organism: Suricata suricatta (meerkat)
Lineage: Eukaryota; Metazoa; Chordata; Mammalia; Carnivora; Herpestidae
Exons: 3
Source: RefSeq, a predicted model, not a curated record